This 301-nucleotide ribosomal RNA is filed under the name uncultured bacterium. Its description in RNAcentral is "partial 16S ribosomal RNA". It matches the Rfam family "Bacterial small subunit ribosomal RNA", at positions 509 to 807 of the family's 1533-position model. The record is from RNAcentral.
CAGUCGCCGCGGUAAUACAGAGGGUGCAAGCGUUAAUCGGAAUUACUGGGCGUAAAGCGCGCGUAGGUGGUUUGUUAAGUUGGUUGUGAAAGCCCCGGGCUCAACCUGGGAACUGCAUCCAAAACUGGCAAGCUAGAGUACGGUAGAGGGUGGUGGAAUUUCCUGUGUAGCGGUGAAAUGCGUAGAUAUAGGAAGGAACACCAGUGGCGAAGGCGACCACCUGGACUGAUACUGACACUGAGGUGCGAAAGCGUGGGGAGCAAACAGGAUUAGAUACCCCUGUAGUCCCUGUCUCUUAUAC